RNAcentral lists this ribosomal RNA (485 nucleotides) under Bacillus subtilis. Its description in RNAcentral is "bacterial SSU rRNA". It matches the Rfam family "Bacterial small subunit ribosomal RNA", at positions 396 to 869 of the family's 1533-position model. The record is from RNAcentral. Lineage: Bacteria; Bacillati; Bacillota; Bacilli; Caryophanales; Bacillaceae.
GCCGCGUGAGUGAUGAAGGUUUUCGGAUCGUAAAGCUCUGUUGUUAGGGAAGAACAAGUACCGUUCGAAUAGGGCGGUACCUUGACGGUACCUAACCAGAAAGCCACGGCUAACUACGUGCCAGCAGCCGCGGUAAUACGUAGGUGGCAAGCGUUGUCCGGAAUUAUUGGGCGUAAAGGGCUCGCAGGCGGUUUCUUAAGUCUGAUGUGAAAGCCCCCGGCUCAACCGGGGAGGGUCAUUGGAAACUGGGGAACUUUGAGUGCAGAAGAGGAGAGUGGAAUUCCACGUGUAGCGGUGAAAUGCGUAGAGAUGUGGAGGAACACCAGUGGCGAAGGCGACUCUCUGGUCUGUAACUGACGCUGAGGAGCGAAAGCGUGGGGAGCGAACAGGAUUAGAUACCCUGGUAGUCCACGCCGUAAACGAUGAGUGCUAAGUGUUAGGGGGUUUCCGCCCCUUAGUGCUGCAGCUAACGCAUUAAGACACUC